UUUUCUGUGAUUAAAACAUAAAUUAUGACUAAAAAAUGAAUGGUUUAAUGGCGUGUAAAUGCUAUUAACUUUCAUUGCAUUUUUUAAUUUGUUUCAUGGUUAAACCUGAAAAAAUGAACAUAUUUUUUGUCCUUCUUUUUUUUCCAAGCUUUAACACCAUUUUUUUUUUUCUCUUCAGGUUGUUAGGGAGCAUAUUUUAAAUCACGAUCAUAUUUUCAAUCACGAAGAUAUGAUAUAGUGAAAAUCAAUUAGUUGAAAAUCAUAGUCUCAAGUGUAAUAAGUUAUGUGGAUUCAAUUAAAAAUGAAGCGCAAGAUUGCAAUAAUUGGAGUUUGACUAAUUGGAUGUGUAGAGCUCCUUUCAACAAAAGAAAGGAUUUGUAGAAUUGAACAAAAAUAAUAAAAGUUGUAAAAAAAAUGUACAGAGUAGUAUAUUUUUAAUCAAACUUUAUAUUUUUAGAGUUGUGUAUAUUAAAAAUUUGAUUAAAGU
Molecule: long non-coding RNA, 487 nt
Filed under: Medicago truncatula (barrel medic)
Lineage: Eukaryota; Viridiplantae; Streptophyta; Magnoliopsida; Fabales; Fabaceae
Description: lncRNA gene40012
Source: RNAcentral